CAUGAGCAACAAGGUGAGAGAUGUUCAAGCUAGUGCAGUUGAUAGGAGCAGGAGAGGGACAAGACCGAUCCCGAAGAGGGGUCAGAUCAAGUCGAGAAUGGCAGCGAAUGCUUUUAACUCCAUUGUCUUUGUGCUGUCUAAAGCUGCUGGCAGUCCGAACCGUCGUCAUUCCCACCGGAAUACAUACUUGAAGGAAGCCUAGAGCAUUAUAAUUAGUGAACAUAUACAAAAUAUUGUAUUGCAAUUAACUUGUUAAUGUAUUAUAAAG
This 268-nucleotide long non-coding RNA is filed under the name Gossypium barbadense (sea-island cotton). Its description in RNAcentral is "long non-coding RNA (GBAR_LNC015147)". The record is from RNAcentral. Lineage: Eukaryota; Viridiplantae; Streptophyta; Magnoliopsida; Malvales; Malvaceae.